AGUGAACGCUGGCGGCGUGCCUAAUACAUGCAAGUCGAACGAAGUGGCGCACGGGUGAGUAAUAUAUAGUUAAUCUGCCCUACACAGAGGAACAACAGUUGGAAACGACUGCUAAUACCUCAUAGUGUAGGAUGAGACUAUAUCGUAUCAGCUAGUUGGUAAGGUAAUGGCGUACCAAGGCUAGGACGGGUAACUGGUCUGAGAGGAUGCUCAGUCACAUUGGAAGUGAGACACCGUCCAAAUUCCUACGGGAGGCAGCAGUAAGGUAUAAUGCGCAAUGGGGGAAUCCCUGACGCAGCCACGCCGCGUGGAGGAUGACACUUUGCGGAGCAUACACUCCUUUUAUCAGGAAAGCGGUACCUGAUGAAUAAGCACCGGCUAACUACGUGCCAGCAGCCGCGGUAAUUC
Molecule: ribosomal RNA, 408 nt
Filed under: uncultured bacterium
Lineage: Bacteria
Description: partial 16S ribosomal RNA
Rfam family: Bacterial small subunit ribosomal RNA
Source: RNAcentral